UGAGUUUCCUGUUCACAGUUCCCCAGAUUUGUCACUGCUGAAGGAUUAAAGCCCCGAGAGCCUCUGACACAGGCGUCUCCCAGAGCCCACUUUCUCUGGGUUGCCUGACAAGAUGUGAGCUGUUACUCGCGUGUGACACAGAUCUGACCCCAAGCUCUCUCACAGAGGGAGAGAAGAAUUCACUAUGUCUUCCGGGGCUGGCUUCAAACUUCACUUUUGGUUUUAACAACCAGCCUGAAGCUAGCAGGCUUCAUCAGAGGGGAGAAACCCUUUGGGGCUAUCCUGAGCAUUUCCAUCUCUGCCCAGACCAGCCGUCUCCAAUCCCUCGAAGAUGAAGAGCCCAGAAGGUGGACACGGCCCCUAAAGUUGGUGAUGCCCCCCUGAGAAGCAGGACCCCUUGGCACAGGACACAGAGCUGUGUUGCCUGCCCCUGGCCCUCUCAGCCUGUUCUCAUCGACAGCUGAUGCCCCCCUCCUCAGCUCCAGGAGAAUAUGAAAGUGUCACUCAGAGUUGUCUAUUUCAUGGCACUGCUGAUGUCUUUGGAGGCUGGUAAGUUAAACAUACCAUCUACUGAGAAAAGCCAUGAUCCAGAAUGCAGGAAAUACCUUCCCGGCAGGGUUGCUUUUCUUACUGGUC
Molecule: long non-coding RNA, 636 nt
Organism: Heterocephalus glaber (naked mole-rat)
Lineage: Eukaryota; Metazoa; Chordata; Mammalia; Rodentia; Bathyergidae
Source: Ensembl